UUUAUAAUGAAAGGAUUUACGACCAAUGACUGAAAAGAUUCCUGGUACAGUAAAGGCGAGAGCUUGCAUAUCUCUAAGAAGAUACAGCGAACUACUUGGAACCAAAAGUUCUCUCAGGUAAGGAGGGCAAUCAAAGUAGGCACACUUAAAAACAAAAAGAAACCAAUGAAAGUCUCUUCUUGCAUUCAACUGAAGCCAAUUCAAUGAUGCAUACAUUACACAGUGAUGUGUUUUAAAAGGACACCUCAAAACAAAUCUACAUAAAGAAUUAAAAACAACAUUAAGCGGCUUAAGAGCAGACAUUCGGCCAACAUGAUGUUCAACAAAUGGUGUUUGUCAGAUCUAAAACCCCCGGUGUUUAAUCUUCUGACAAGUGGUGCAACAGAUGGCCUACAACCGGUGAUUGUUAACCUUUCAUGUUUUAUGGGUUGAUUGGUGUGGUCUGCGUAUUUAACCUUUUCACGCGUGAGUUUCAAAUAUGCCUUAACGGCCCCCCAGAGUGAGUUUUUUUGCGCGUGAGUUCAGCACUCACUCAGAGUUCCAGAAUUUGAUUGUAACGUCACAAUACAUUUAAUCUGCAGCUUCCCAAAAACACCAUGCUGCUUACUAGUUAUGCAUCUAUUUUUUUAUUUAAAUUUUAUUAACAAACUUCUACCGGUAGUAACUGUUAAAAAUGUAUAUUGAAUAAUUAUGAACCAAUCUUAAAAAUGCUGUCCUAUUUCUAAAGAUUGCGGCGAGAAAGAUACUGAAACACUUCACUUGUUGUAUCAAUAAAACUUACGCAAUCUAUCAGGCAAUAGGUGGUGUGUAAAUUGUUUUACGUAAUUAUUCAGAAGCUCUCAAAAAAUUAUAAAUUCCGAUUCUUGCAUUUAGUAAUGGACAAAUGCGAUCAGUGAAAAGGUAGAUUUUUUUAAGAUUACGUUGAACUUUUUUCUCAACAAAAGUAGUAAUACUGUUUUAGUUUGCGCCAUCGGUUCGCUGCUAGAUCUGCCAAUUGAGCUAUUGUGCAUGAACCCUACCAAAACAAACUGACUGGAUUAACCCCACCCCACACAGCAGUAGACGCCUACGCGGAUCCGCAUCCAAGUCGUGAAACCCGCGUGACUGUCACAUUCGUUUUGGCACCGCCCAGAGGAUCCGCUCCGCCUCCGGGCAGCGCGGUGAAUUCUACUGUCCCACACUGGACCCGUGUCGGAUCCGCUCCGCCUCCGGGCAGCGCGGUGAAUUCUACUGUCCGACACUGGAUCCGUGUCGGAUCCGCAGAAGUGGACGCGCCUUUACUGUAAAGGUUGAACUACAACCUCUUGGUGUGCUCUUGCUACGCCGAGACAAGAGUCAUAUCAGUGGAGAUUUUCUUUCCUGGGACACGGUUGCGCUGAACUAUCUGAGAUGCCUUUUCAUCUAAUUGAAUUUCAGGCAAGCGAGGACAUUGCUUUUGUGCCAGUUGACUGGUAUGAUGACGGGAUGGUGUACUGGCCCAGCUGAACGUGUGAAACGGGCAGCUGCUAACGAGGAGAAGCAUAAGCCAAACUGGCCAAGAUAUGACGUAAAGGUCAUCAGAACUUGUGACAACUACAAAGACGCCAUCAGGCUAAUGAAUCAAUAUCAGACCGGCUGCAACGCCUCUGAGCUACAGUCUGAGGCAGAGCAGGAGGGAUAGCUGCCAGAGAAAUUAUUCAGGAAGCCAAUCCAUCGUUUUGGGGACUCUGAUGAGAGUGAAGAAGAGCCAGAAAAUUCAGCUGGUGUAUCAGUUGGAGCCUCAAGCCCAAACCAAUUACACUGGCAGACUCCACCAUCUCACUGAGUGCCAUGCAGCAGAGUCACUACUCCUCAACCUGGAGGAAACUGUCUAGCACCUGACCAUGGGGCCGGACCCCAACACCCUUCAUCACCUCAACUCCCUGCACCUGCAUUUAACAUGAGGAGAGUUACUCAAGGAACGGCAGUCCCUCCUCAACUCCCUCCACCUCCCGCACCGGCCCUCAACAUGAGGCGAACAGAGGCGCCCUCUUCAAGCCUGGCCUACAGACCAACAUGGCGAGGGGGAGGAAUGACCGAUACCAUUCCCUGCUCUGUGGCUGAGGUCCACAUCCUUAGCCUGCUGGAGACCAUUAAACAACAACAACACCAGCUUGUGGCAAAGGUGAACUACCUCAGCAGCAGGCUGAACAGCAACCCCGGGGCCAGAUGUUGAGAUGCCGGUUACCCCUGGAACAAUUGGAGGCAGUGGAGGCAUUUGAAAUGUUUUUAAAGGAACCGUCAAUGGCCCAGCUCGACAGAGCGUGGUGCUGUGAGGAAAAACACAGUGACACGGUCAGCCACGGACGCAGAGGUCACCAAGCACGCAAUCAGGUGGUUCAACCUGGCAGCGGAUCGGGCAACGAGGAGACGUGUCCCGCCUCAAGCCACACAAAUGGAGUAAUAGGAGAAAUAAGCAAUAAACAAUAUUUUUAUUGAACUUCUUGUCGUUCACCAGUUAUUAAUUUUCUGAUAUUUUAGCU
This is a long non-coding RNA of Esox lucius (northern pike), 2501 nucleotides long. The record is from Ensembl. Lineage: Eukaryota; Metazoa; Chordata; Actinopteri; Esociformes; Esocidae.